ACACAGCCCUGCUCAUUUUGGUCUUCCCAAUCCCUCUGUUGUUUAUUCCUUCUCCCUUAGGUUUUGUGCUAUGGUGCUUACUCUUGCUCUGCCCUUGUACUGCGUAUGAAGAAGACUCCAAGAAACACAUGUCCUGUAUUACUGUAGUUGUUUUGAAUCUGAUCAUUGUUGGCGUGUUGAUAUGCAGGUACUUGAGCACAGGAGGUCAAUACCAGUACCAGGAGGAGAUUGGGCAGCUUGAAAUCAUUAGAACUGUGUCAUUAGAACCACAGGGAAAACAGAUAAUGGGACACCCUCAUCUGCAUGACCUCGGAGGACCCAUAGAAUAAGCAUCAAAUAAGGGCAACAGUUCAAGUCUAUGACUGAAUUUAGGAACAACAUAUUGCUGUGCUGAAGCGACAUGGAAUCAUUUAGUCAUCACCUCUACUGAAAAGUGAUGCAAAGUAUCUCUUCAGUAGUUGAUCCAAUCCCAGCAGGAUCCUCAGUGUUCAAAUUCUGAAACCCUGAAUAUAAGUCCUCAGUCUGCUAACUAACCUUCUGAAUGUCUUGAACUUACCUAAAAUCACAAACUUCAGGACGGAUAAGAUAAAGUCUACAAAUUACAAAGUCUACAAAUAAGAUUUGUCUACAAAUUACAUGGCUCAUGUAAGAAUUGAACCCGAUUCCUCGAAACAUCAUGGAUGUACUUCUUGUUUAAAGCUGAUGUUAAACUGAAAGUUAUGUACUGGGCACAAUAAUAGUCAACUAAACAUAUAAUAAAAACCUUAACUUGGGAAAAUUCUUGUAAUUGUACUCCAGAUACAAGAUAGAGUUUCUUUUCUUGACCUCUGAGCAUCUUUAGCAAAUAUCACUUUUACCCAUUUAUGCAAUCCAGGGGAACCUGGAACUUACGUGUGUGUGUGUGAUAAAAAAAGCACGUAUGCUCAAAACAGAGUGGCAUAAAUGAAAUAUACUGAUACGYUGCUGAUGUAUUUUUUUCUUUCUCUCUUUCUCAUAUAAUGCUGCUGCAUGGGUUCCCCUCAAUUCUUUGGAUAUGGACCCUUGGGGCCAUGUAGAUAUCAACCAAAUCGCCUGGAGACAGCAUUUAAUAGAUCAUUAACCCAAUGGUGAAUCAGAAUGUUUGAAACAGAAACAAGAAAAUAGCAGGAAAUAUCUUGCAGUGUAUGCCUGGCAAACUAGAGUGAAACCCUGCCCUCAUCAAAGUUAAUACUUAAAGUAAAAAUUCAUUCUUGAUAUUUAUAAUCAUCCCUGGAUAGUUCUUAUU
Nothoprocta perdicaria is the source of this 1264-nucleotide long non-coding RNA. RefSeq lists it as uncharacterized. The record is from RefSeq and is a predicted model, not a curated record. The transcript has 5 exons. NCBI's taxonomy places the organism in Eukaryota, Metazoa, Chordata, Aves, Tinamiformes, Tinamidae.